GAUGAACGCUAGCGACAGGCUUAACACAUGCAAGUCGAGGGGCAGCGGUGGUGAAGGCUUGCCUUUACCAGCCGGCGACCGGCGCACGGGUGAGUAACACGUAUGCAACCUGCCUGCCACAGCCGGAUAAUCGGGAGAAAUCCCGUCUAAUACGGCAUAAUGCAUCGACGGGACAUCCUGUUGGUGCCAAAGGUUGAUUCCGGUGGCGGAUGGGCAUGCGUCGCAUUAGUUAGUUGGCGGUGUAACGGACCACCAAGACGACGAUGCGUAGGGGUUCUGAGAGGAAGGUCCGCCACACUGGUACUGAGACACGGACCAG
RNAcentral lists this ribosomal RNA (319 nucleotides) under uncultured bacterium. RNAcentral describes it as "bacterial SSU rRNA". It matches the Rfam family "Bacterial small subunit ribosomal RNA", at positions 28 to 334 of the family's 1533-position model. The record is from RNAcentral.